RNAcentral lists this ribosomal RNA (528 nucleotides) under Datonychus maurus. RNAcentral's name for it is "partial 16S ribosomal RNA". It matches the Rfam family "Bacterial large subunit ribosomal RNA", at positions 1809 to 2611 of the family's 2925-position model. Lineage: Eukaryota; Metazoa; Arthropoda; Insecta; Coleoptera; Curculionidae. The record is from RNAcentral.
AAAAACAUGUCCUUUUGAUUUAAAUUUAAGGUCUAACCUGCUCAAUGAGUUUUAAAUAGCCGCAGUAUCUUAACUGUGCAAAGGUAGCAUAAUCAUUAGUUUCUUAAUUAGAAGCUGGAAUGAAGGGUUGAAUGAGAAAAUAACUGUCUCUAUGAAAAUUUUAUAGAAUUUUAUUUUUAAGUUAAAAAGCUUAAAUAUGAAUAAAAGACGAGAAGACCCUAUAGAGUUUUAUAUUUAUAUAUAAUAUUUCUUUUAGUAUUUUAAAAUUUAUUUUAUAUGUAAUAUUUAGUUGGGGUGAUUAGAAAAUUGAAUAAACUUUUCUUUUAUAAGAACAUUUAUUUAUGAAAAUAUGAUCCAUUUUUAUGAUUAUAAGAUAAAAUUACCUUAGGGAUAACAGCGUAAUUUUUUUUGAGAGUUCUUAUCGAAAAAAGAGAUUGCGACCUCGAUGUUGGAUUAAAAUAAAUUUUUGGUGUAGAAGCUAAAUUAAUUAGGUCUGUUCGACCUUUAAAAUUUUACUUGAUCUGAGUU